CCUACGGGUGGCAGCAGUGGGGGAUAUUGCACAAUGGAGGAAACUCUGUUGCAGCAACGCCGCUUGAGGGAAGAAGGUCUUCGGAUUGUAAACCUCUGUCCUCAGGGACGAUAAUGACGGUACCUGAGGAGGAAGCUCCGGCUAACUACGUGCCACCAGCCGCGGUCAUACGUAGGGAGCAAGCGUUGUCCGGAUUUACUGGGUGUAAAGGGUGCGUAGGCGGCGCUGCAAGUCAGGUGUGAAAACUAUGGGCGUAACUCAUAGAUUGCACUUGAAACUGUGGGGCUUGAGUGAAUAAGAGGCAGGGGGAAUUCCCAGUGUAGCGGUGAAAUGCGUAGAUGUCGUGAAGAAAACCAGUGGCGAAGGCGGCCUGCUAGGCUUUAACUGACGCUGAGGCACGAAAGCGUGGGUAGCAAACAGGAUUGGAUACCCCGGUAGUC
RNAcentral lists this ribosomal RNA (440 nucleotides) under uncultured bacterium. Its description in RNAcentral is "bacterial SSU rRNA". It matches the Rfam family "Bacterial small subunit ribosomal RNA", at positions 338 to 795 of the family's 1533-position model. The record is from RNAcentral.